AGCCGAAGGGAAACCGAGUCUUAACUGGGCGUUAAGUUGCAGGGUAUAGACCCGAAACCCGGUGAUCUAGCCAUGGGCAGGUUGAAGGUUGGGUAACACUAACUGGAGGACCGAACCGACUAAUGUUGAAAAAUUAGCGGAUGACUUGUGGCUGGGGGUGAAAGGCCAAUCAAACCGGGAGAUAGCUGGUUCUCCCCGAAAGCUAUUUAGGUAGCGCCUCGUGAAUUCAUCUCCGGGGGUAGAGCACUGUUUCGGCAAGGGGGUCAUCCCGACUUACCAACCCGAUGCAAACUGCGAAUACCGGAGAAUGUUAUCACGGGAGACACACGGCGGGUGCUAACGUCCGUCGUGAAGAGGGAAACAACCCAGACCGCCAGCUAAGGUCCCAAAGUCAUGGUUAAGUGGGAAACGAUGUGGGAAGGCCCAGACAGCCAGGAUGUUGGCUUAGAAGCAGCCAUCAUUUAAAGAAAGCGUAAUAGCUCACUGGUCGAGUCGGCCUGCGCGGAAGAUGUAACGGGGCUAAACCAUGCACCGAAGCUGCGGCAGCGACGCUUAUGCGUUGUUGGGUAGGGGAGCGUUCUGUAAGCCUGUGAAGGUGUGCUGUGAGGCAUGCUGGAGGUAUCAGAAGUGCGAAUGCUGACAUAAGUAACGAUAAAGCGGGUGAAAAGCCCGCUCGCCGGAAGACCAAGGGUUCCUGUCCAACGUUAAUCGGGGCAGGGUGAGUCGACCCCUAAGGCGAGGCCGAAAGGCGUAGUCGAUGGGAAACAGGUUAAUAUUCCUGUACUUGGUGUUACUGCGAAGGGGGGACGGAGAAGGCUAUGUUGGCCGGGCGACGGUUGUCCCGGUUUAAGCGUGUAGGCUGGUUUUCCAGGCAAAUCCGGAAAAUCAAGGCUGAGGCGUGAUGACGAGGCACUACGGUGCUGAAGCAACAAAUGCCCUGCUUCCAGGAAAAGCCUCUAAGCAUCAGGUAACAUCAAAUCGUACCCCAAACCGACACAGGUGGUCAGGUAGAGAAUACCAAGGCGCUUGAGAGAACUCGGGUGAAGGAACUAGGCAAAAUGGUGCCGUAACUUCGGGAGAAGGCACGCUGAUAUGUAGGUGAAGUCCCUCGCGGAUGGAGCUGAAAUCAGUCGAAGAUACCAGCUGGCUGCAACUGUUUAUUAAAAACACAGCACUGUGCAAACACGAAAGUGGACGUAUACGGUGUGACGCCUGCCCGGUGCCGGAAGGUUAAUUGAUGGGGUCAGCGCAAGCGAAGCUCUUGAUCGAAGCCCCGGUAAACGGCGGCCGUAACUAUAACGGUCCUAAGGUAGCGAAAUUCCUUGUCGGGUAAGUUCCGACCUGCACGAAUGGCGUAAUGAUGGCCAGGCUGUCUCCACCCGAGACUCAGUGAAAUUGAACUCGCUGUGAAGAUGCAGUGUACCCGCGGCAAGACGGAAAGACCCCGUGAACCUUUACUAUAGCUUGACACUGAACAUUGAGCCUUGAUGUGUAGGAUAGGUGGGAGGCUUAGAAGUGUGGACGCCAGUCUGCAUGGAGCCGACCUUGAAAUACCACCCUUUAAUGUUUGAUGUUCUAACGUUGACCCGUAAUCCGGGUUGCAGACAGUGUCUGGUGGGUAGUUUGACUGGGGCGGUCUCCUCCUAAAGAGUAACGGAGGAGCACGAAGGUUGGCUAAUCCUGGUCGGACAUCAGGAGGUUAGUGCAAUGGCAUAAGCCAGCUUGACUGCGAGCGUGACGGCGCGAGCAGGUGCGAAAGCAGGUCAUAGUGAUCCGGUGGUUCUGAAUGGAAGGGCCAUCGCUCAACGGAUAAAAGGUACUCCGGGGAUAACAGGCUGAUACCGCCCAAGAGUUCAUAUCGACGGCGGUGUUUGGCACCUCGAUGUCGGCUCAUCACAUCCUGGGGCUGAAGUAGGUCCCAAGGGUAUGGCUGUUCGCCAUUUAAAGUGGUACGCGAGCUGGGUUUAGAACGUCGUGAGACAGUUCGGUCCCUAUCUGCCGUGGGCGCUGGAGAACUGAGGGGGGCUGCUCCUAGUACGAGAGGACCGGAGUGGACGCAUCACUGGUGUUCGGGUUGUCAUGCCAAUGGCACUGCCCGGUAGCUAAAUGCGGAAGAGAUAAGUGCUGAAAGCAUCUAAGCACGAAACUUGCCCCGAGAUGAGUUCUCCCUGACUCCUUGAGAGUCCUGAAGGAACGUUGAAGACGACGACGUUGAUAGGCCGGGUGUGUAAGCGCAGCGAUGCGUUGAGCUAACCGGUACUAAUGAACCGUGAGGCUUAACCUUACAACGCCGAAGCUGUU
Molecule: ribosomal RNA, 2301 nt
Filed under: Escherichia coli
Lineage: Bacteria; Pseudomonadati; Pseudomonadota; Gammaproteobacteria; Enterobacterales; Enterobacteriaceae
Description: partial 23S ribosomal RNA
Rfam family: Bacterial large subunit ribosomal RNA
Source: RNAcentral